Molecule: non-coding RNA, 77 nt
Organism: Cordylochernes scorpioides
Lineage: Eukaryota; Metazoa; Arthropoda; Arachnida; Pseudoscorpiones; Chernetidae
Source: the annotation of a GenBank genome assembly
GUCCAAAGAUGGGAAUCGAACCCACAGUGUUCCGCUUACCGGGCAGAUGCCAUGUCCACUAACUAAGCUACUCUGGA